GACGAACGCUGGCGGCGUGCCUAAUACAUGCAAGUCGAACGCAGUGGGGACGGGUGAGUAACGCGUGGGUAACCUCCCCUAAGAGGGGAUAACACUUGGAAACAGGUGCUAAACCGAUACUGAUGGAUGGACCCGCGGUGCAUUAGCUAGUUGGUGAGGUAACGGCUCACCAAGGCCACGAUGCAUAGCCGACCGGCGAGGGUGAUCGGCCAACCGGGGACUGAGACACGGACUAGACUCCUACGGGAGGCAGCAGUAGGGAAUCUUCGGCAAUGGACGAAAGUCUGACCGAGAAACGCGGCGUGAGUGAAGAAGGUUUUAGGAGCGUAAAACUCUGUUGUUAGAGAAGCGGUAUCUAACCAGAAAGCCACGGCUAACUACGUGCCAGCCGCCGCGGUAAUAC
This 403-nucleotide ribosomal RNA is filed under the name uncultured bacterium. RNAcentral describes it as "partial 16S ribosomal RNA". It matches the Rfam family "Bacterial small subunit ribosomal RNA", at positions 28 to 526 of the family's 1533-position model. The record is from RNAcentral.